CACGCCGUAAACGUUGGGCGCUAGGUGUGGGGAACCUUCCACGUUCUCCGUGCCGUAGCUAACGCAUUAAGCGCCCCGCCUGGGGAGUACGGCCGCAAGGCUAAAACUCAAAGGAAUUGACGGGGGCCCGCACAAGCGGCGGAGCAUGUUGCUUAAUUCGAUGCAACGCGAAGAACCUUACCUAGGCUUGACAUAUACCGAAAACUCAUAGAGAUAUGGGGUCCGCAAGGGCGGUAUACAGGUGG
Molecule: ribosomal RNA, 245 nt
Filed under: uncultured Actinomycetales bacterium
Lineage: Bacteria; Bacillati; Actinomycetota; Actinomycetes; Actinomycetales
Description: partial 16S ribosomal RNA
Rfam family: Bacterial small subunit ribosomal RNA
Source: RNAcentral